Molecule: long non-coding RNA, 1544 nt
Organism: Alosa alosa (allis shad)
Lineage: Eukaryota; Metazoa; Chordata; Actinopteri; Clupeiformes; Clupeidae
Exons: 8
Source: RefSeq, a predicted model, not a curated record
GUGCAUCAGUACAGGUGUGUCGAGAGGAACCAGCCGUCGCUGCAUGCUGGGCCUCCACGGAAACAUCUGUCUUCCUGUGAGAGCUGACCAGAGCUGCCCUCCUCAGCGUGAGGCUCUGAGAGAGAGAUCAGCUGCGGGAACACAGGGCCUUCAGCCAUUUCCUCUGCCAUGAGCACACACCCAUGCUGAUACUGAGAGACACUAUGGUAGCCUGAGAAGUUCUACAAUAUUACGGCUACCAAGCUCCAACAGGCACUGGAUGUGUGUUUGAGAAGCCAGCCAGCAGUGAAAUACAGUCAGCUCUCCUCUCCCUCCACCCAAACCGCCCACUCCACCGGCGCGAAGGCAAAGAGAUGGUGUUUAAGGCGAGAGCCCGCGCGUAUGCCUGUCAUAAUCAUCGGGGACUUUGCGUCUGAUCCCUCACCGGAGACCUCAUCUCGAGGAAUGGCCUCGUCAGGCGGAACAGCAGACACAGCCAGCACACUCUGAGGUGCUGAGAUGAGUGCAUGCUACAUGAGAGCAUCAUGGAUGAACAUCUGCAGCAGGAGGAGUGAGGGAGAGUCUGAGCAUUGUAAUUACAGGUGACAUUUGAAGCUGCCAACGGAGAUAGAUGUGGCGUUUGUGUGGCUGGCCAGGUCACCCAGAGUGCAACAUGUGGCCUGGAGGAACAAGAAACCAGCGAUUGAGAGGGAGAGAGAGAAAGAGAGAGAGAGAGAGGAAAGACAUUCUAAUCCUACCCCCUGAUCGAUCCCGGAGACAGGCCCUGAUGCUUGAUGUCCAUCAAUCUUGCUGGACUCUGUGUGGCCAGCGUCGUGUUGCUGCUCGGCCCAGCGCCUCGCUGUCUGCUCCGCUCCUCUCCUCCGCUGAGCUGGACCUGCUCACGGUCAUCUGAGAUCACCGCCCCCACUCCACCACCCCUGCCCUGCUGCACUCCUCCAGCCUCCCUCCUACUGUCAUGGGCACCGCCUGGCUCCAGGACCUCACGGGCCCAGAGAUGGGUGGCCUCCAGGGGACAAGGAGUGAGAUGGGCAAGGUGAGAUGUGCAAGGUGUGGCUGGGAAAAUCACUCACUUCAAUCAAAGCGGGCCCCUGCUCCCUGCCAUCCUCUGUCCCGGUCGGAAAAAGGAGAAAUGGCUUCUGUAUGAGAGGUGUCAUCGUGUGGUUUGAAGGUUCACCACUUUAAUCUCCUCUGGACAUCCCAUUGGCUUCAUUGGAGGGUGCAUUCAAUAUUCUGCGGUCCGGCAUUGAUUGGGAUUUGCAAUGGCACGCUGAACAGUACUUCUGAUCAGAAUGGGUCUACUUCUGAGUCCAGGAGUGUGGAGAUUACACCAAAUACUGGCCUAAACCACAGAUGGUAGAUACUGCAGCGUCACGCAGGCCCAGGCUCAGUGAGAGUGACCACACCGGGGAUGUCUAAUUGAGUUUUAUCAUAAAGGUCCAAUCACACUGUUCCAAAAGCCCACAAUGACCAUGAGAGGAUAUCUCCACUUUUCUUCCUCAUCCUCUCUCAGUCACUCUCUCUGUCUUUCUCUCUCUCCCAUCCUC